This 1450-nucleotide ribosomal RNA is filed under the name uncultured Verrucomicrobiota bacterium. Its description in RNAcentral is "bacterial SSU rRNA". It matches the Rfam family "Bacterial small subunit ribosomal RNA". The record is from RNAcentral. Lineage: Bacteria; Pseudomonadati; Verrucomicrobiota.
AACGAACGCUGGCGGCGUGGAUAAGACAUGCAAGUCGAACGCGAUUUUCUCGGUUAGCAAUAACUGAGGAAAUUGAGUGGCGAAUGGGUGCGUAACACGUGGGAAUUUAUCCGGAAGUGGGGGAUAGCUCGUCGAAAGGCGAAUUAAUACCGCAUAUGCCUGUAAGGGCAAAGUGGGGGACCGCAAGGCCUCACGCUAUCGGAGGAGCCCGCGCCCUAUCAGCUAGUUGGUGAGGUAAUGGCUCACCAAGGCUUAGACGGGUAGCUGGUCUGAGAGGACGACCAGCCACACUGGAACUGAGACACGGUCCAGACACCUACGGGUGGCAGCAGUCGAGGAUUUUUCUCAAUGGGGGCAACCCUGAAGGAGCGACGCCGCGUGGAGGAUGAAGGGCUUCGGCUCGUAAACUCCUGUCACCGACGAACAAGACAUCCGGAUUAAUAACUCGGAUGUUUGAUGGUAGUCGGAGAGGAAGGGGCGGCUAACUCUGUGCCAGCAGCCGCGGUGAUACAGAGGCCCCAAGCGUUGUUCGGAUUUACUGGGCGUAAAGGGUGUGUAGGGGGUUAGGUUAGUCUGACGUGAAAUACCGUUGCUCAACAACGGAACUGCGUCGGAUACUGCCUAGCUAGAGGUUCGGAGAUGAGGGCGGAAUUCUCGGUGUAGCGGUGAAAUGCGUAGAUAUCGAGAGGAACGCCGAUGGCGAAAGCAGCCCUCAAGACGAAAUCUGACCCUGAAACACGAAGGCCAGGGGAGCAAACGGGAUUAGAUACCCCGGUAGUCCUGGCAGUAAACGGUGCUCAUUAGAUGUAGGCGGAUUCGACCCCGCCUGUGUCGAACCUAACGGAUUAAAUGAGCCGCCUGGGAAGUACGGUCGCAAGAUUAAAACUCAAAGGAAUUGACGGGGACCCGCACAAGCAGCGGAGCGUGUGGUUUAAUUCGAGGCUACGCGAAGAACCUUACCAGGGUUUGACAUUCAUGUAGUAGGGAAGCGAAAGCGGACCGACCCUUCGGGGAGCAUGAACAGGUGAUGCAUGGCUGUCGUCAGCUCGUGCCGUGAGGUGUUCGGUUAAGUCCGUUAACGAGCGCAACCCUCGUGGUUAGUUAUUCCCGGGCAACCGGAAUCUGACCAGACUGCCCUGUGAAACGGGGAGGAAGGUGGGGACGACGUCAAGUCCGUAUGGCCCUUACGGCCAGGGCUGCACACGUACUACAAUGCCCAAUACAGAGGGACGCAAGACCGCAAGGUGGAGCUAAUCCCGUAAAGUUGGGCCCAGUUCGGAUUGGAGGCUGCAACUCGCCUCCAUGAAGUUGGAAUCGCUAGUAAUGGCGCAUCAGCUACGGCGCCGUGAAUACGUUCCCGGGCCUUGUACACACCGCCCGUCACAUCAUGAAAGCCGGUUACACCCAAAGUCGCCUUAUGGUGCCCAAGGUGUGGCUGGUGAUUGGGAUG